GAUCAUGGCUCAGGAUGAACGCUGGCGGCGUGCCUAACACAUGCAAGUCGAACGAGGUUACUGAGAUUGGAGAUUCGUCAAAGAUCUUUUAACCGAGUGGCGGAUGGGUGAGUAACGCGUGGAGAACCUGCCCUUAUCAGGGGGAUAACAACUGGAAACGGUUGACAAUACCGCAUACGCUCAUGAGAUCGCAUGAUCUUGUGAGGAAAGAUUUAUCGGAUAAGGAUGGCUCCGCGUCGGAUUAGCCAGUUGCGGGGUAACGGGCCCACCAAAGCGACGAUCCGUAGCCGGCCUGAGAGGGGCGACCGGCCACAUUGGGACUGAGACACGGCCCAGACUCCUACGGGAGGCAGCAGUGGGGGAUAUUGCACAAUGGGGGGAACCCUGAUGCCAGCGACGCCGCGUGGAGGAAGAAGUAUUUCGGUAUGUAAACUCCUAUCAGCAGGGAAGAAAAUGACGGUACCUGACUAAGAAGCCCCGGCUAACUACGUGCCAGCAGCAGC
This 503-nucleotide ribosomal RNA is filed under the name uncultured bacterium. RNAcentral describes it as "bacterial SSU rRNA". It matches the Rfam family "Bacterial small subunit ribosomal RNA", at positions 15 to 518 of the family's 1533-position model. The record is from RNAcentral.